UACGUAGGGGGCAAGCGUUGUCCGGAAUCAUUGGGCGUAAAGAGCGUGUAGGCGGCCAGAUAAGUCCGCUGUGAAAUCUUGGAGCUUAACUCCGAAACUGCAUUCGAUACUGCCGUGCUUGAGGACUGGAGAGGAGACUGGAAUUUACGGUGUAGCGGUGAAAUGCGUAGAUAUCGUAAGGAAGACCAGUGGCGAAGGCGGGUCUCUGGACAGUUCCUGACGCUGAGGCACGAAGGCCAGGGGAGCAAACGGG
This 253-nucleotide ribosomal RNA is filed under the name uncultured bacterium. Its description in RNAcentral is "partial 16S ribosomal RNA". It matches the Rfam family "Bacterial small subunit ribosomal RNA", at positions 524 to 776 of the family's 1533-position model. The record is from RNAcentral.